RNAcentral lists this signal recognition particle RNA (97 nucleotides) under Dolosicoccus paucivorans. RNAcentral describes it as "Bacterial small signal recognition particle RNA". It matches the Rfam family "Bacterial small signal recognition particle RNA". Rfam says of the family: The signal recognition particle (SRP) is a universally conserved ribonucleoprotein involved in the co-translational targeting of proteins to membranes. Archaeal SRP consists of a 7S RNA and homologues of the eukaryotic SRP19 and SRP54 proteins. Lineage: Bacteria; Bacillati; Bacillota; Bacilli; Lactobacillales; Aerococcaceae. The record is from Rfam by way of RNAcentral.
UAAUAGGUUUUGGGCAAUGAUGGAGCCGUGAAUGAGUCAGGGUCGGAAGACAGCAGCUAUAAGCGGUGAAGUCAUGUGCCUUUUUUAUUUUUAAAAU